CCUACGGGUGGCAGCAGUGAGGAAUAUUGGUCAAUGGACGAGAGUCUGAACCAGCCAAGUAGCGUGAAGGAUGACUGCCCUAUGGGUUGUAAACUUCUUUUAUAAAGGAAUAAAACGAGGCACGUGUGCCUUUUUGCAUGUACUUUAUGAAUAAGGAUCGGCUAACUCCGUGCCAGCAGCCGCGGUAAUACGGAGGAUCCGAGCGUUAUCCGGAUUUAUUGGGUUUAAAGGGAGCGUAGAUGGGUUGUUAAGUCAGUUGUGAAAUUUUGGGGCUCAACCGCAAAAUUGCAAUUGAUACUGGCAGCCUUGAGUACAGGUGAGGUAAGCGGAAUGCGUGGUGUAGCGGUGAAAUGCUUAGAUAUCACGAAGAACCCCGAUUGCGAAGGCAGCUUACUAAACUGUGACUGACAUUGAUGCUCGAAAGUGUGGGUAUCAAACAGGAUUAGAUACCCGAGUAGUC
Molecule: ribosomal RNA, 460 nt
Filed under: uncultured bacterium
Lineage: Bacteria
Description: partial 16S ribosomal RNA
Rfam family: Bacterial small subunit ribosomal RNA
Source: RNAcentral